This 439-nucleotide long non-coding RNA is filed under the name Olea europaea subsp. europaea. Lineage: Eukaryota; Viridiplantae; Streptophyta; Magnoliopsida; Lamiales; Oleaceae. The record is from RNAcentral.
GCAUCAUUGAACGGCAAAACAAGGUUGUCAUAACUGACAGGAUGUGGGCGAGGCUUCUUUCUUCGACAAAUCAACCAAGUUUCUUGGGUCCUAAAGCUGUCGUAGCAGCCAAAACAGAGGAAGUGCCUCCAACUCAAUUGCUGGAUGAUGCUGAUCAGAAAACAAACUAAAUGAAUCCACCGGCAUUUCGUAUUUUACGGGGGUUGGUUUGUUAGGAUAUAUCGGCUGUUGUGGGUACUGACUAUUUGAUUUUGAUGUUUUAUAUUAGAGGAAAUUAAGCCCAAAAUGUUUUAUUUAGAUGUAUGCAACAAUUAUUCUGUAUCGUCUUUGGAUAUCAUGUAAACUAGUCUGUAUCAUUUUUGAAUAAUAAUGCGAUAGCAUCGCCAUUGGAAGUUCUACGGUUUUGUACCAUAUCAAACAAGUACUUGAAAAGUCUCUU